UCCCUGGUGAUCCAGUGGUUAAGGCUCUGCAUUCCCAAUGCACAGGGCCCAGGUUCAAUCCCUGGUCAGAAAA
RNAcentral lists this transfer RNA (73 nucleotides) under Bos taurus (domestic cattle). It matches the Rfam family "tRNA". From Rfam's summary of the family: Transfer RNA (tRNA) molecules are approximately 80 nucleotides in length. RNAcentral also lists the same sequence under 1 other name. Lineage: Eukaryota; Metazoa; Chordata; Mammalia; Artiodactyla; Bovidae. The record is from Rfam by way of RNAcentral.